GGGGAAGCCGCUCCGAGUCGCCCCUGAGCCUAGAUGGGUCGUGAGCAUCGUCAUUCCAGACCAGGCUGGGCAGAUUCUGCCCGGAGACUGAGAUUGUACAUCAGGCCCACAGCUGCGCGGCGCAUUAGGAGACGGCGCCAUCAAUAACGAGGCUUCUGCGGAGCGAACAGAAUACAUGACAUACAUGAUGGGGAUUCAGCUGAAAAAUUUUCAGACAUCUCUAUUCUUUUAUCUUCUCGGAGGGGGGGCCCUUUUGCCUCUCUCUUGAGUCUUGGCGAACUCUGGAGAAAGUAAAAGCCAAACCUGCCUGCUCUCUCCCGUUCUCCUGAAGGCUGCACACCUGCCCCUCCCGCCCCGAGACUGGGGAGCUCCCGGGUCCAGUGAUUGCAUAGCACGGACGCCGCUGGAAACACCUUCGAGAAUUCAUUAGGAUUGCACAACAAGAUUUUAGUCGAGGAAGAGAUCAGUUCCCUCAGGUCACUGGAAUGGAUCGUUAAAGUAGGGCAACAAGUGUUCUGCCGCAUGACACUUUUUCAAAAAUGCGAGUUGGUGAGAAAGAAUUCAGGAGAUACCUUUGUAGCGAAUGGCACCAACCGCAGUGAGGGUCUGUGGCUGUUAAACACUCCGAACAGGAUUUAUGUUUAUUGCAGUUUGCAACACGAAUUCUCCUCACCUAAAAGGAAAGAGGACAAUGGUUCAGAUGGAAUUAUAAGCAACAGCAGGAAAACUACAACACCUUAUCUAAUGAAGGGCCAAAAAGAGCCUAUUUAUCAACUUGAACUCAACACCUCCAUACUGGCACUGGGCAGUGGGUCUCAAGAUCUAGGACAUGAAGUCAUUGUAUCACAAUCACCUGGGGAGCUUUUGACAGUGCGUAUUCCCAGGCCUCUGCCGCAGAGACUCUCGCUAAGUCUGGGGGCAGAGCCUAGGAAGUUGUAUUUUUUCAUUUAAAAGAUUUUUUUCUUAAAGACACAGGGUCUCACUACGUUGCCCAGGCUGGUUUUGAACUUCUGGGCUCAAAGCACUCCUCCCAAAAGUGCUGAGGUUGCAGGCGUGCACCACUGUGUCUGGCCAGGAAUCUGUAUUUUAAGAGCUCUCUCUCAGGAAUGAAGUGCUUCGUGCUGCAUCCUGCCUUCAACGACAGGAAACUGAGUUUGUUACACAAAUCUCUGGAAGAUAUGGAGCUAGGAAGAGCCGUUGCCGUCUGCAGCUACUGAACACAGUGUGAUAGCACACUUUAUCUGCCAGAGCUCAGUUCCCAACUGUACUAAGGUUUUUAAAGGCACAUUGAAGUUGCAGCCAGCAAACUUCAGUAAGCAACACAGCAACUCCUAAAAUCGCCCUAUUUGGGGAGGGGGAGGCUAAGACUUAUUAACUUCAUUAUAUUAUCGCCAACAGUGUUUAUGUCUUUCAAUUUAUGUCUUAUUAAAUAUUCAUUAUUUUUAAACCCACCAAGUUUCAUUAACAUCUAAACUAAAUGGAUUAUGGGACUAAAUUGAUUUCUGAAGCCUUUAAAGUGCCAUCUAUAUUUCUUUGUUGAGGUUGCGCUGCAAGGACAAGAUAAGCUAGCCAGGAUUUGUCCAAUGCCCUGAUCACUUUUCAAGGAAAAGAUGUCAUAACCUAAGAGAAGGCAAUGUUUUUGCAUAAAAUAUUCUAUAGUGAACUCGGUUUAAGAAGAUUUAGGGAAAGCUCAUUAGAGUUUCUUUUUCCCUUGUUGAAAGAUACUUUUCAUGCAAUAUGGGAAGAUGAGGAGCUGUCCUGUGAAAAUUGAAGUUAAGGAAAAAAAUUCUCUGUGGGUCUAAGGUUGGAACAAUAGAUCACUGUUUAGAUAAGGAAGCCUCAUGACUAUGAGCAGAAAAAGAAAAGUCGGAUGACCUUUAGGAUUAAAAAAAUAAGUAAAACCAUGCCACACAUCUUGCUUUAAAAUA
This is a long non-coding RNA of Homo sapiens (human), 1928 nucleotides long. Lineage: Eukaryota; Metazoa; Chordata; Mammalia; Primates; Hominidae. The record is from Ensembl.